GACGAACGCUGGCGGCGUGCUUAACACAUGCAAGUCGAACGGUGAAGCGCCUUCCUUUUUGGUGGGUGUGGAUGAGUGGCGAACGGGUGAGUAACACGUGAGUAACCUGCCCCCUUCUUCUGGAUAACCGCAUGAAAGUGUGGCUAAUACGGGAUAUUCUGGGUCUGUCGCAUGAUGGGUCUGGGAAAGAUAUUGUUUCGGUGGGGGAUGGGCUCGCGGCCUAUCAGCUUGUUGGUGGGGUGAUGGCCUACCAAGGCGGUGACGGGUAGCCGGCCUGAGAGGGUGGACGGUCACACUGGGACUGAGACACGGCCCAGACUCCUACGGGAGGCAGCAGUGGGGAAUAGUGGACAAUGGGCGCAAGCCUGAUGCAGCGACGCCGCGUGCGGGAUGGAGGCCUGCGGGUUGUGAACCUCUUUCGCCAGUGAAGCAGGCCUGCCUCGUUUGUGGGUGGGUUGACGGUAGCUGGAUAAGAAGCGCCGGCUAACUACGUG
RNAcentral lists this ribosomal RNA (494 nucleotides) under uncultured bacterium. RNAcentral's name for it is "partial 16S ribosomal RNA". It matches the Rfam family "Bacterial small subunit ribosomal RNA", at positions 28 to 507 of the family's 1533-position model. The record is from RNAcentral.